This 253-nucleotide ribosomal RNA is filed under the name uncultured bacterium. Its description in RNAcentral is "partial 16S ribosomal RNA". It matches the Rfam family "Bacterial small subunit ribosomal RNA", at positions 524 to 776 of the family's 1533-position model. The record is from RNAcentral.
UACGGGGGGGGCAAGCGUUGUUCGGAAUUACUGGGCGUAAAGGGCUCGUAGGUGGCCAACUAAGUCAUACGUGAAAUCCCUCAGCUUAACUGGGGAACUGCGUCUGAUACUGGAUGGCUUGAGUUUGGGAGAGGGAUGCGGAAUUCCAGGUGUAGCGGUGAAAUGCGUAGAUAUCUGGAGGAACACCGGUGGCGAAGGCGGCAUCCUGGACCAAUACUGACACUGAGGAGCGAAAGCCAGGGGGGCAAACGGG